GGGGCACCGCAUCCACAUGGCAUGACAGCUUCAGGUCCUGACCGAGUUGAAUGUUCUCGCUUUCUUUGAUCAUGUCGGGGGUGAUCUGGAAUGUGGCGUUCUUCAGGGCUGCAAGGAGAUGGGGUUCGAAGAAGGCUGGAGCUGACCCAAGGACAGGUCCUGCCCUCUGUUCUACCGAGGUUCUGUGUGGCCAAUAGACUUCAGCAGGGGAGAGCCUAGACUAGGAUAGGAAACUGAUUUCCAUCACAGCCUUGAAGAGGAGAAAGCCCUGCUCCCCUGCCCUAAGCACUCCUGUGGAGAGGAGCCUAGGAGAGGCUGCAGCCUCAGGCCAUCAGCAACCACGUCUCUCUGAAGAGUUCUCCAGCACUCCUCCUCCUGGGAUGACUGACACCCAACUGCAGCCUUUUGAGAGAGCCUGCAUGAGAGUCUGCCGGCUGCUGGAUUCCUGCCACUGGCACUGGGAGACAAGAAGUGUUCCGGGACUCAGCCCCUGCAUUUUGAAGUAUUUGCCAGUCAACAAUAACUAAUAUAGCAUAAUGCCUACUUUGCAAGUUAUGAGGCUUAGGGAGCGAAGCACUUAAAUGUGGUGCCUCAAACGCAUUAGUCAGUCAACAGUUUCUAUUAUUAAUAGUGAUCUCGGUAAGUGACCAUGCUCUGAGGAGUCACCUUAAUUUGUCUAUGUGGAUUUUAACAUGCUAUUCAAAACUUG
This 709-nucleotide long non-coding RNA is filed under the name Mus musculus (house mouse). RNAcentral's name for it is "predicted gene, 56908". The record is from RNAcentral. Lineage: Eukaryota; Metazoa; Chordata; Mammalia; Rodentia; Muridae.